UCCUGUGUAGCUCAGUUAGUAGAGCAUGGCGCUUCCAACGCCAGGGUUGUGGGUUUUAUUCCCACUUGGGAC
Non-coding RNA from Salmo salar (Atlantic salmon), 72 nucleotides. NCBI's taxonomy places the organism in Eukaryota, Metazoa, Chordata, Actinopteri, Salmoniformes, Salmonidae. The record is from Rfam.